GUUAUACUGACUUACAAUUGUUCUGUUUGCUUUUUUUUAAAAAAGUGACAUGAAACACAAGUAAAAAUAAAUACGUCAUAGAAACAGCCAGUUGCCCAGUCUCUGGGGCAGGAGCGCCUGCCCUGCUGAGAGGAGGGAAGCCCAUGAUCACACCAGCAGCUGGAUCACCCAGCCACAGAUGCUCCUCGAAGCCAGGCACAGGUCCCAGGCCUCAGGGGCGUCCUGAGGAAAGAAGACGGAAAACCAAAGCCAGGUGCACAUGAGCACAGCACACAAACACACACACACACACUCACACACACACACACACACAGCUGGGCUGAGCUCUCUUCCAGGGAGGGUCCUGGGUCCAGUCACAGUAUGAGGUCCUCUCUCUUCUGAAUAUCAUCCCAGUAGUGGCAGCAGAGAGUACCCAAACCUCCCCAAGCCCUCUGCAUUGCAGACACUGCAGCCUGCUUGGCUACCCCUCCCCAACACACUAGAUUACUAUGUCAAAUAGACCUGCAAAAGGGAAAGGUGCACACUCAGGUCCCUGAAGAGCAAAGAAGUUGGACACUGCCUGCUCAAGAAGUUCAUUGUUAUAAGACUCAGGUAUUCAUAAAAGGCCUAGGGCUAAGCUAGUAGCACAGAAAAGCCGUUAAGGGGAUCACAGCAGAAUACACAGGGCAGAAGAGAAGAGUUGGCAGCAGGGGAACGGAGUCUCAAGGUGACCAAUAGAGAGCACAACAUUCUCAAAUAGUCCUUGAGGUGCUGAUUCCUGGGAGUAGUCAGCAGAGGGCCAGAACAUCUCCCAGGGGUCCUUUUGGGGAAGGAUGACUUCACUUAGUUUUAGGGGUGAAGAGCCACUGAGCUGGGUGCACAGAAGGCCAUGGCUCAGAAGGGAAAGACUGAUCUGAGAAAUCAAAAGGAAGUGGGGGCCAGGAGCAGUGGCUCACGCCUGUAAUCCCAUCACUGGGAGGCCGAGGAGGGUGGAUCACUUGAGGUCAGGAGUUCAAGGCCAGCCUGGCCAACGUGGUGAAACCCCGUCUCUACUAAAAAAUAUACAAAUUAGCUGGGCAUGGUGGUGUGCACCUGUAAUCCCAGCUACUUGGGAGGCUGAGGCAGGAGGAUCGCUUGAAACCGGGAGUGGAGGUUGCACGGAGCCAAGAUCACACCAUUGCACUCAAGCCUGGGUGACAGAGCAAGACUCUGUCUCAAAAAAAAAAAAAAGGAAGUGGGAAGCAGAAGGUAAUAUCCAGAACACUAGUAACAAGGAAUGUAAAGCCCCCAGAAGACCUUCCCCAUGGGAUGAGGACUCAAUUUCAGAGCAAUGCCAGGUUUGAAUAGACUCACACAGAGGGCCCUUCUCUGCUGACAACUUUGGGAGUGAUGGUCCUACCCAGGCCACUUAAGUUUGGCUAAGUGUUUCAACCAAUCUGCAAAACUGUACCCCAGCACUUUGCUUCCUGCUCCUGAAUUGAGAAAUUUCAUAUUUAGUUGUGAAUCACAAGCAUAUAGAGACUCCACACACUAAUUCCUAGGGAAGAGAGCUCCAAGGAUCACAAGCAUAUAGAGACUCCACACACUAAUUCCUAGGGAAGAGAGCUCCAAGGACCAGACAGAAUUAUCCUUAAAUCAGGAGAUGAUGAGAUAGAUGCCUAAAAAGCAUAACUCAAAGGGGUGUGGACUUCAUAGAUAUCCAAUCUAAAGAAAAUGAUAUGACCCAACAUGGUUCACUUCCUUUCUUAAAUAGCUACUUUGUCCCUGUUCAAUUUUUAUCUACAAAUAUAUUAAGAAAAGGAAAUCAAGCAUCACUAUAAAUGGUAAACCUCAAUCAUUAAGUAGUACUGUGUUCCCCAGGCUGAGAACUUGGCUAAACCAGAUGAAUGGGGCUUGAGAGGCCCUUGAAAACAUUCCAUGGAAGACAAUGGUAAGGGAAAACGCCUAGGCCUGAUUUUCUGCCCUCCCUCUUAUCACCAGCCACCCUGCCCCCCUCAGGCCUGGAUAAUGGGUGGAAGACACCACCAAGUGUUUAUGAUCAAAGAAACUAUAAAACAUGGUUCUUAGGCUCUGAGAUACUUCCUGCUUCCCUCACAAACAUGCUUAUGUUUGGUGUGCAUGCACAUUUGCCUAUCAGCACAUAUAAAGAGACAGUGGAAAAGUCAGAAGUGUUUUCAGGUUAUUUUCUUUAAAAAAAAAAAAAAAAAAAAAAAAAAAAAAAAAAAGCAAAAACCAUGGACCUGGUAGCACUCCAAUUUCCCAUGAUCCCACCCCCAACCCCUCUACACAAUAGAAACUGCACAUAUAAAAGAAAGCCUUCUCUAGUCAGGUCAGCCUCCCAGAAUGAUGGCCUCUGCUGAGUAGAAGCAAGACCCAGUCCCUGGAACACUGGAUAGACAGUAGGCAUGUGCUGCCUCUCAGAAUACCCAUUUACUUUCUGUCAACUUCAAAAGCCAAGCCCAUCCCUCCAGGGAAUGGUUUCAGUUCCCGGCUGGGAAGGUUUCCGGAUUCUUGGAGGCUAGUACAGUGAUUUCCUAGAAGUGAACACAGAAAUACUACCCCCUUCUCCCGACAACACACACACACAGACAUACACAUGCACACAUGCAUCUCUGGGAUCCCAGUGCUCCAGGGCCUGAGAGGCAUCAGUGUAACCCAGGUUCUGAGUGUGUCCCAUAAAUUGGAGAUUCAGUCUAGCUCACUCCUACUGCACCAGCCUCAACCUGAGAGCUCACUCCAACUGAGUCCCUUCACCAUCCAUUCUUGGGAUGCAUCUGAAAGAGAAAGCACUGGUUGGAACUGCUAUUUUUAAAUUAUUAAAAUAAUUUGCAUAGCUAAAUUGUAGAUCUAAGGCUUCCAUGAGUAGAAGAGUUAAGUGUCUGGCAGGGUGCUUAUGAAAACACAAAGCUUCUUAAGUUCCACUUUUGGUGUUAUUGGACAGCAGACAAACACACAUAUACACAUGCACCCCAUCCAUCAUCUCCUUGUCUCUUCUCUGAGGACAAUACCCCAGAGUCUGCUAAGGCCCUCCAAAGAUGGAAAUGGGCUGGUCAGAAGAGCUGUAGGAGCUACUACUGGGAUGACCUGACUAAGCUGCCUUCUGGGCUGGGAAGAGGCAGGUACACCACCUGCCCAGUAAGGAGGGAGCCAUGGGUAAGUGGUAAAGCUCUAAAGCCAAAGUUUGUUCAUCAUAAAGAACUGUCUGGCAAAGUGUUGGGGUGGGGGAUACAGAGGGGGCGGGGACACCAGUAGGAAGACAGCCAGUGUUUAUGCUUAAGGACUAGACGACCCUCCCCUGGCAAUGGCAAUAAGGGGAGACCCAGAAUGACUGGUGUGUUCUUUUAAGAUAAAACCCAGACUUAGGGCUCCUACAGAGAAAGGGCUCCUCCAUGUUCCUUCAAAGAUGGAGGCAGCAGACACCAGGCCUACAUGGACCACCUGAAGAUAUUUUCGAACAUGAAAUCAACAGUCCCUCAACCCAGCAACCGCCUAUCCACAGCUUCACUAUUCAGCAUAGAGAGCCAACAUCUAACAUCAUCCCAGGAGGACACAGCUCCAAAUCUGGGGUCUCUUACUUCCCAAUUGCAAACUCCAUGAUCACAACUUUCGAUUUCUGUGGAAUGAGUCCCACCCUCCACUAACUAUCCAGUCUCAGGAUUCCCUGAUCUUCCUGAAAAGCCAUCUCUCAAAAAUAUAGUUGUUUAAUCCAAACCUUGGUCAAACCUAACUCUUCCCCUGGUCAAUUUACCAUCCAUCCAGGAUUGUUUUUCACCAGUGGCUAUAGGGUCUGGGAUAUCUUAAAACUUCCCUUUCUAUCACCUACCCUCCUUACCCCUAACCUCCCCCCACCCCCAAAUAAACAAGACACAUGAAAAGUCCAAGUAAUAAAUAAUUGCCCAUAAGAAAUAAAUUAACAUGGAGCUCUCUAAAGGGGAAGGAAAGGAACAGAAAAGACUACCAGGAUAGGCAGCUGGGGGCUCAGUUCUACCCUGGUGAAAAAUGUAUUUUCCAGCCACAACUCUGCGACCUUUCAUUCACGUACUGCAGUGCUUCUCCCUCCCAGCCUCUGCACACAGACAACCUUCCAAGCUGGAAAGGGAGAGCUGCUCAGAGAUAGCCACCGGGGUUAAGAGACAUAGAUUGGUAAUGCCCAUUUUCUCUCAUGAAUUUCCCCAAAUUCUCACACAAAUGUGGCUCUGAAUACCAGGGACUUGAGUUAGCUGGGCCUUCUCUUCACCCAUCCCGAAGGAAACUUGUUAUUUCCAUGGCUCUUCUGGGCUCACCCUGAUGUUCACACUAGGUGCCAUGAACCACCAAACUGACUUCCAUUUAAAGAAAGAUAAAUUCAUUUUUCAGUUUCCCUCUUAGUUCUUCCCUCCCUCCCCUCCCACCUUCACCCCUGCUCUGUUCCAUACAUACACAUACAAAAUAAACAUACACACACACACUCACAAACACACAUACCUGGUCAGCUUCCUUCCCACCCCCUAAAAAGACCCCACUUCACAUGGGAUCACAGUCUGCUCCCCCUACCCACCCUCCUUCUCUCACUCAUUCUCCCUUCCUUCACUCCCCUCCCCAGGCCAAGCUAAGUCACCUAGUAAGGCAGCUCUCUUGGGAAAGAAUGUUCCCAAAGACAGAAAUGGGAUGUGCGCUUCUACACUCAGAUGGGCGAGCAAGCAAGCAGACAGCAUAAGCAAGGCAGGAAGGAAAAGAGGCUGCACUGCCCCUCCAUCCCUGUUUUGGGUCCCUGAUUUCCCGCUAUUGCUGCUGUGUUGGACUUUUUUUUUUUUUUUUUUUUUUUUGCCUCUUUUGUUAAACAGCAACAGAGCUCUGCCACUUUGGCCAACCACCCUCCUUUGUCCUCUUCCUUUUCCCUCCUGCCAAGUGUCC
RNAcentral lists this long non-coding RNA (4872 nucleotides) under Homo sapiens (human). Its description in RNAcentral is "HSALNT0054578". Lineage: Eukaryota; Metazoa; Chordata; Mammalia; Primates; Hominidae. The record is from RNAcentral.